RNAcentral lists this ribosomal RNA (162 nucleotides) under Taiwania cryptomerioides. RNAcentral describes it as "5.8S ribosomal RNA". It matches the Rfam family "5.8S ribosomal RNA". Rfam says of the family: 5.8S ribosomal RNA (5.8S rRNA) is a component of the large subunit of the eukaryotic ribosome. It is transcribed by RNA polymerase I as part of the 45S precursor that also contains 18S and 28S rRNA. The record is from RNAcentral. Lineage: Eukaryota; Viridiplantae; Streptophyta; Pinopsida; Cupressales; Cupressaceae.
AACAUGACUCUCGACAACGGAUAUCUCGGCUCUCGCCACGAUGAAGAAUGUAGUGAAAUGCGAUACUUAGUGUGAAUUGUAGAAUCCCAUGAAUCAUCGAGUCUUUGAACGCAAGUUGCGCCCGAGGCUCCGGCUGAGGGCACGUCUGCUUGGGCGUCGCAC